CCGGGCACUCUAGAGAGACUGCCAGGGAUAACCUGGAGGAAGGCGGGGAUGACGUCAAAUCAUCAUGCCCCUUAUGACUUGGGCUACACACGUGCUACAAUGGCGUAAACAAAGGGAAGCAAAGCUGUGAAGCCGAGCAAAUCUCAAAAAUAACGUCUCAGUUCGGACUGUAGUCUGCAACCCGACUACACGAAGCUGGAAUCGCUAGUAAUCGCAGAUCAGAAUGCUGCGGUGAAUACGUUCCCGGGUCUUGUACACACCGCCCGUCACACCAUGGGAGUUGGGAAUGCCCGAAGCCAGUGACCUAACCGAAAGGAAGGAGCUGUCGAAGGCAGGCUCGAUAACUGGGGUGAAGUCGUAACAAGGUAGCCGUAUCGGAAGGUGCGGCUGGAUCACCUCCUUU
RNAcentral lists this ribosomal RNA (403 nucleotides) under Agathobacter rectalis. RNAcentral's name for it is "bacterial SSU rRNA". It matches the Rfam family "Bacterial small subunit ribosomal RNA", at positions 1131 to 1533 of the family's 1533-position model. The record is from RNAcentral. Lineage: Bacteria; Bacillati; Bacillota; Clostridia; Lachnospirales; Lachnospiraceae.